GCUGUCUCCACCCGAGACUCAGUGAAAUUGAAAUCGCUGUGAAGAUGCAGCGUUCCCGCGGCAAGACGGAAAGACCCCGUGAACCUUUACUAUAGCUUCACGCUGAACGUUGAGUUCGUCUGUGUAGGAUAGGUGGGAGGCGUUGAAACCAGGGCGCUAGUUCUGGUGGAGCCAUCCUUGAAAUACCACCCUGAUGUGCUUGACGUUCUAACCUAGGCCCGUAAUCCGGGUCGGGGACCGCGUGUGGUGGGUAGUUUGACUGGGGCGGUCUCCUCCCAAAGCGUAACGGAGGAGCACGAAGGUGCGCUCAGCGCGGUCGGACAUCGCGCAGUGUGUGUAAGAGCAAAAGCGCGCUUGACUGCGAGAUCGACGGAUCAAGCAGGUGCGAAAGCAGGUUCUAGUGAUCCGGUGGUUCUGUAUGGAAGGGCCAUCGCUCAACGGAUAAAAGGUACUCCGGGGAUAACAGGCUGAUUCCGCCCAAGAGUUCAUAUCGACGGCGGAGUUUGGCACCUCGAUGUCGGCUCAUCACAUCCUGGGGCUGUAGCCGGUCCCAAGGGUAUGGCUGUUCGCCAUUUAAAGUGGUACGCGAGCUGGGUUCAGAACGUCGUGAGACAGUUCGGUCCCUAUCUGUCGUGGGCGUUGGAGAUUUGAGAGGGGCUGCUCCUAGUACGAGAGGACCGGAGUGGACGAUCCCCUGGUGUUCCGGUUGUCACGCCAGUGGCACAGCCGGGUAGCUACGAUCGGAAGCGAUAACCGCUGAAAGCAUCUAAGCGGGAAGCGCGCCUCAAGAUGAGAUCUCCCGGGGCCUUGAGCCCCCUGAAGGACCCAUGAAGACUACAUGGUUGAUAGGUCGGGUGUGUAUAGCAGUAAUGCCGAGCUAACCGAUACUAAUGAUCCGUGCGGCUUGAUCAU
RNAcentral lists this ribosomal RNA (912 nucleotides) under feces metagenome. Its description in RNAcentral is "bacterial LSU rRNA". It matches the Rfam family "Bacterial large subunit ribosomal RNA", at positions 2015 to 2925 of the family's 2925-position model. The record is from RNAcentral.